This is a non-coding RNA of Ktedonobacter racemifer DSM 44963, 271 nucleotides long. It matches the Rfam family "HNH endonuclease-associated RNA and ORF (HEARO) RNA". The record is from Rfam. NCBI's taxonomy places the organism in Bacteria, Bacillati, Chloroflexota, Ktedonobacteria, Ktedonobacterales, Ktedonobacteraceae.
GUCAAUGACCUCCGGUCAGAGACCGGAGGCUUGUGAGAGCCUAGCUUUUGCAAGCCGAUUGACCAGACCCGGUUCUUGAGAGAGCGGUGCCGAGCUUCUCUGCGUCACCGCUCCCGCUGAGAGAACCCCGAUGCUUCCAAGUGUUCAAGAUCGUACUGGCGGGUGCUGCCCCAGCCUACCACCCUACAACGGCUUCUUUAACCAGGGAUGAGGUCAGUCCCCGUGAGAAGCCGAAAGUACCGAGAGGCAUCAUGGUCGAGGGGAAGAGAAA